This 440-nucleotide ribosomal RNA is filed under the name uncultured bacterium. Its description in RNAcentral is "partial 16S ribosomal RNA". It matches the Rfam family "Bacterial small subunit ribosomal RNA", at positions 338 to 795 of the family's 1533-position model. The record is from RNAcentral.
CCUACGGGAGGCAGCAGUAGGGAAUAUUACUCAAUGGGGGAAACCCUGAUGCAGCGACGCCGCGUGGGGGAUGAAGGUUUUCGGAUUGUAAACUCCUUUUGUUAGAGAAGAUAAUGACGGUAUCGAACGAAGAAGCACCGGCUAACUCCGUGCCAGCAGCCGCGGUAAUACGGAGGGUGCAAGCGUUACUCGGAAUCACUGGGUGUAAAGAGCGCGUAGGCGGGAUCGCAAGUCAGAUGUGAAAUCCAAUGGCUUAACCAUAGAACUGCAUUUGAAACUGUGAUUCUAGAGUAUGGGAGAGGUAGGUGGAAUUCUUGGUGUAGGGGUAAAAUCCGUAGAGAUCAAGAGGAAUACUCAUUGCGAAGGCGACUUGCUAGAAUAUAACUGACGCUGAUGCGCGAAAGCGUGGGGAGCAAACAGGAUUAGAUACCCGUGUAGUC